AAAUCGGGUGAGACUACCCGCUGAACUUAAGCAUAUCAAUAAGCGGAGGAAAAGAAACUAACAAGGAUUCCCCUAGUAACUGCGAGUGAAGCGGGAAAAGCUCAAAUUUAAAAUCUGGUG
This 120-nucleotide ribosomal RNA is filed under the name Russula cremicolor. RNAcentral describes it as "Russula cremoricolor partial 28S ribosomal RNA". It matches the Rfam family "Eukaryotic large subunit ribosomal RNA", at positions 1 to 127 of the family's 3401-position model. The record is from RNAcentral. Lineage: Eukaryota; Fungi; Basidiomycota; Agaricomycetes; Russulales; Russulaceae.